Molecule: long non-coding RNA, 2775 nt
Filed under: Homo sapiens (human)
Lineage: Eukaryota; Metazoa; Chordata; Mammalia; Primates; Hominidae
Description: HSALNT0328316
Source: RNAcentral
GCGCGGAGCCGCGCGGAGUGACAAAGCCGCCGCUGCCGCCGCCGGGGGUGGGAGCCGCGCUCGCCCGCCCGCCCCUCGACUCGCGAGGGCGUAAAAGUUUGUCUCAGCUCGAGCAUUCCUAGCGCCAACACGCCCUCAGGUAAAGGUGGAAGUAAAUGGCCACGCUGUAUUGACAGAGCAGGUAGAUGAAACUCAAGAGAAAAGGUGUGGAUAAAUGAAACUAGCCCAUGAUGAACCUGUUUUCUCCGUGACCACAAUAUUAACCAGGAUGAAUGGCGGUGGCAGUGGGCCUGCAUCACAGGUUGCAGCAGAUGUUCUCAAUAUUUCUAUUAAAAUUUCCUUAUUUCCAUAUGCAAGAGGAGCCCCAGAGCUGCAUCCUUAUGGUAGCUACCAUGCCGUGAUGUAAGCUGCCAUUCACUGGGGAGCUUUGGCAAUAGAAUUGGCUAGAUCAGGAAGCCUAUGUCAACUAUGGAACAACAACUUGCAGCUCAUCUCUAUUGAUGGUGAAACAGUCGCAAAUGGAAUUCCAAGAAACAUUCUAUCAUCAGGUAUUAUCUACUGCUGUCUGCAGAAUUCAGACAUGGAGGGCUCAAUGGUGUCCCCUGGUCUUUGGAACAUUCUGUAUUUUAAUGAUCAUGAUACACUGCCUCUAGGACUGGGACAGAUAGCCACUGAGUACCUGCUUCAAAUCACCCUGCACGUUUUCUCUUUGGAAAGAUAAGCACUGGAGAACCAUCUCGUUACCUUCAGCAGAAAUGGAAACAAAUCAAGACAUUAAGAAUGCCGCAGUGGACAGCAGUUAUGCAAGGUUCAGCAGAGGAAGUUUUCAAGAUGGUGUGCCUCACUAGCCAGAAAUCAGAAAAGAUCGAAGCUAGCCUUUUCAUCUCAGCUGCUCCUUAAAUCAGUGCAACCCCUCCAAAUUAAUGUGAAUUGAAACUUGCAUUGCUUUUCAACUUAAUUGAAUACUUACUAUAUGUGAACCACUGCACAAAAUAGGGGAAGAAGAUGUGGGAGACAAAGAUGUGGAGCCUGUCUUCAAUAAAUUUACAGUUAGUUUCAGGGUACAUUGUUUUUCUUCUGCUGUUAAUUAGGUGUAUCCCCAAGACAAUAAAUACAUGAAUGGAAAAGUAUAUUCUGUGUUUUAAGUCUCUUUAAUAAAAAACAAAACAAAAUCCAAAAAAACUCCUAACAUGGCAACUCAGGACAUUUUAAUCCUUUUUUUUGUUGUUGGGCUUCUGAUAGGAUCCAUUUUAUUGAUUCCAUAAAUAUUUAGUAGACUUUAGACAUAUUAAUACAUUGUAGUUUGAGUUAAUUUGCAUUAAAUUCUGUUUUUUUCCCCUUAGGUAUAGAUUGUCUGUUGGAAAAAUAUAUUGCUUGUGGAUUUCUUGGGGAGUGGGAAGGUGAAUUAUACCUGUUGUCUCUACAGUCCACUACCUUCCACACCCUAGGGCAGUGGUCCCCAACCUUCUUGGCACCAGGGAUCAGUUUCCUGGAAGACAAUUUUUCUGUGGAUGGUGUGGGGAUGGUUUUGGGAUGGAACUGUUCCACCUCAGAUCAUCAGGCAUUAGUUAGGCUCUCAUAACGAGUGCGCAGCCUAGAUCCCUCACAUGCACAGUUCACAGUAGGGUUUGCGCUGCUAUGAGAAUCUAAGGCUGCCACUGAUCUGACAGGAGGCAGAACUCAGGUGGCAAUGCUUACUGGCCCACUGCUCACCUCUUGCUGUGCGGCCUGGUUCCUAAUAGGCCAUGGACCCCCACAGACGGGUACUAGUCUGCAGCCUGUGGACCCCAGCCCUAGGGGCCUGCCAUUCUGAGUGAGUUAUUAGCAUGAAGAAGAGGAAGAUCUGGAUCAAACGUGGGUGAUGGUACUCAGAGACCCAAGAUAGGAUAGGGAUGGAACAAAAUCCAUCUGGGCAACGGCUCUAUGAAAAUUUGGCUAAGUAAUUAUUUCAGUAUUCAUUGUAUUCAUUGUCCUUCGUGUUCCAUAAGUUAAAUGACUGUCUAAUUUUUCCAAAAAUUUAUUUCUGACUUGAGAAUAAGUGUGUCAUGAUUUUCCCAGUGUAAAGACACUGAUAUAACUGUAGAUACCAGACAUUUUAUGUAGUGUCUAUGACACAUUUUAGUAUGUAUGAGCCAACAAUAGACAUGUCUUUGUCUUGAGGAGUGUCCAUCUGAAUUGAAAAUGUGUCAGCUUUUUUUUAACAUCAUCAACAGACUUCUUAAUUAAGCUGCCAAUACAUACUGCCAAUAGCACUGUGUGCUGUCUGAGAAAUGCAUUGUGUAAGUGCUAUUUCCAUCUUAUUAAAUAAACAAUGUUGCUCUGUAUAAACUGGAUUUAAAGUGUUCUUUGAAUGAGGCAUUAUAUUGCUCCAUAAAUAAUGUGAUGUGAAUUCUCAUAUGAUCCCUUUUAACUUAAUUUCUAAAAAAAUAUUAUUUGCUCCUCAGUAAGGAAUAGCUCUAAUUGGACUGGUAACUUUAGUGAUAUGAUUUGUCUGUAACAGGCUGAAUCGCCCCACUCCCAAACUCCUGGUCGUGAUACUGGAUAUUUGUUAUGCCACUUUUAGUUUGCAUGAGGUAUCUUCCAGGAAGUAUUAGUUAUUAACUUGUGUUCUACUAAACUGUAGAUAUUUAUUUCCUGUUCUGGAAGAUUUCUUGGAGUGUCCAUCUGUGCAUUCCUGGUGCCUAGUGUAGUCUUGCUAAUGGAAUAGCACCUUUAUUGGUGCUACUUAGGGGUUGGUAGCUUACAAUCAAUCUACUUGGAACGUAUCCAAAUAAA